Long non-coding RNA from Cylas formicarius (sweet potato weevil), 454 nucleotides. RefSeq lists it as uncharacterized. The transcript has 2 exons. NCBI's taxonomy places the organism in Eukaryota, Metazoa, Arthropoda, Insecta, Coleoptera, Brentidae. The record is from RefSeq and is a predicted model, not a curated record.
GUUAUGGUGUCUUAUUUUUGUUUGGGUGUUGAUUUUUAGAUUUAGAUUUUUCUGGAAGGUAUAUCUUUUUCAGUGUUUGUGUGUAGUGCUGCUGAUUUAACAUGUGUUAAUAAAGUGGAAACAUCUUUGUACUCUAGGACCUACUACAUCAGAAAUUAGUAGAAAGGAUGUUAUGUACAUUUUAAUAGAAAACGAAAUGACGGAGGAUAAUUUAAUCAAAUGGCUUUGGAAUUAGCAGAACCAAUUCGAAUAUUUGAGGAUAAUGAAGGUGUCCGAUACCAAAGAAUUGCAAGACUGAUUUAUCACAUCCAGCGCGUUUCAGAGCAGCGAGAUAUUUGAUGUUUAGAAAAUGAUCUACCACACCUGGAAGUGGAUAUUGCAGAUGAGGUUGGAAAUGAGGAAAGCAACCAAAUAGCAAAUAUGCCCUUAUAACAAAUAAAAAUAUGUUUUCGAA